RNAcentral lists this unclassified non-coding RNA (240 nucleotides) under soil metagenome. RNAcentral's name for it is "partial contains 5.8S ribosomal RNA, internal transcribed spacer 2, and large subunit ribosomal RNA". The record is from RNAcentral.
AACACUGUUAACCUGCGGUACCUGCGGAGGGAUCAUUAUGGUAUAUGGAAUCUCCAUUCUAUAAACCCACUCUGCGUAUCUUGUAACUGUUGCUUCCAUGGGACUUGGUUCCGCCACACCGGCUUCACGGCUGGUGAGCGCCCAUGGAAGGAGAAACAAAACUCUUCUUUGAAAUGUAGUCAGUCUGAACAAGUUUUUAUAAACGUUAAAACUUUUAACAACGGAUCUCAGAUCGGAAGA